Non-coding RNA from Diatrype stigma, 139 nucleotides. Lineage: Eukaryota; Fungi; Ascomycota; Sordariomycetes; Xylariales; Diatrypaceae. The record is from the annotation of a GenBank genome assembly.
GUCUUCGUGGCUCAGUUGGUUAGAGCGCCGGUCUCAUACUACAACAAAGGGGGGAUGUUAUAGUCCCUCCCUACUACGUGUGAAACAGCCUAUAGGCUGGGAUAUCCGGAGAUCGCCAGUUCGAUCCUGGCCGAGGACA